Molecule: long non-coding RNA, 11013 nt
Filed under: Gossypium barbadense (sea-island cotton)
Lineage: Eukaryota; Viridiplantae; Streptophyta; Magnoliopsida; Malvales; Malvaceae
Description: long non-coding RNA (GBAR_LNC013109)
Source: RNAcentral
AGGCAUCCUCCCUUGGCUGCUUAGCAUUGAACAUGUCAUGGCAGCACACCCAACAGUGCAGAAUACGGAGCUGCUCGCGAGGUGGGUUUCCUCCAAUGUCUCCACCAGUGCUUCUGACGGCAGGCAGCGUUGAAUACAUUCCCCAAGGGAAGUUCCGUUGGCGACGCAAGUCGUUACGCAAAAAGUAUACCCAAGUCCAAUCGGGACAAGUGCUGUAACAGCUUGACGCGAGGGACUAACAAGGAUCAACAACAGCAAACAGAACAUCAACGCCAAUGAUUUCCCCCCCAUUAUGUAUAUAUUUGAUUUGAUUUGAUAAUGAUUUUUUUGCACUGCUUGAUAUCGGUGUUAUAUACACUUUGAUUGUCAUGCCAAACUACCAAACUGCCUAAUUAAGAUGCCAAACUAUAAUGCCAAAAUUUGAUUGAAUGCAAAAUUAAAAGAACAUUUCUAUAAGUAAUCAAAAUAAUUUGAAAUGAAUUUGUCAUGCCAAACUACAUGGAAAAUGUCUAAUGUCUUGUCCUUUUUUUAGAAUUCUUCCUAAUAAUCUAAAUUCUUCCUAACCAUCCCAAAUAUUCUGAUUGUCAAUGUUCUUUCUCAGAUGUCAUGAAUCACAAAUGAACACUAAACCUUUAACUUCAUAUUUUAAACAUUAACAUCGAAGUAAACACUUAAACCGUGCAAAUAAAAUCUUGAUUCUCACCUUCACAGUGACUGUAUCCAUCUCCUUUGAUUUGCUCGCUAUCAACCAAGAGACAUUCACAAACUCUUCCUCGAAAUGUAUCUUAAGAAGAAAAUCAAUAUAUUCAAAUAAGCUCAUGGAGUAGAGAAUCCCUAUCAAAUCUGUUUCGAUUCAUACCCUGCAGGCUGUGAGAUUUGCUGCUUUUUCUUGCCAACAACCACCAUCAUUUUCCAAGCAUUCAUUCGUCUCCACAUCUGUGAAAAAAGUAACCGCCAUCACUGGUGUUUCAAAUAACAACUGGACAGUAAGUUGAAACACUACACUGGAUUUCUAAAAGCCUAGCUCUCGCCUAUGUUACUUAGUGUGAGAGUUGGAUAAGACAUAUGUCUGACAUGGACAUGUGCAAGUUGUUCUUCAUUUUCCCUGUAUUCAGAGUGUUUUUGGAGGGUCACAUCCCCAUACUCGUCUAUGAAAACGUGUCAGACACGGGUUCUCAAGAGAGGUAAAGAGUCAGCACCCCUAAGUGGAACCAGACUAAAAUACUUCUCUUGCAAGAAAAAUAAAACAAGACAAACUCACCACCACUCGAACAAACAGCUGGUUCAGUAGUCUCCUCGAAGCCGGCACAUAUGGCCUUCAAAACAGCACCUUUGGCCAGCUUUCCUGCAUGCAGAUAUGUUAAACGCGGAAAGCACCCAAAAUUUUAUCUGGGAAAUACGGGUAUAAAUACGAACCUCGAUAUUGGCGAUUGUUGACAACAAGUCUAGGCAAUAUGGUAACAUCUCCUCUAGAUCCUUUCCCCGCCUAUGAAAAUGUUUCUAUUAAAUAGCCUCAAAAAGGUCAAAGAAGACAACGAAUUGGAAAAAGAGUAGUGAAACAUAAAAUAUCUUAGCCUGAGAGGACUACUUGAGCAUCUUGUUCUUCUUCCAGAACAGGAUUCUCCAUAUCAGCAUCUGGAUCUCCCAAACACUUUUCGAUCUUUUUAGCGUCAAGCCCUGAAUGGAUGACAAAGGAAUAUCAUCAAUUUAUUACUAGUUUCCAGCAAGAUUUUGAGUUUUCACUGUGCUAUUAAUACUAACAGAAAUUUGAAGAUAAACCGAGGAUCUUCCAAUUAACUGUUUACCAAGAGAUUUGAUAACACCGUCUGCACAUUCCUUAUUAUAUCUUUUCUACUUCAUUGGCCAUCUUAUUUCAAAAUCAGUCACAUAGUCCCACCACACCCAAGGCCUAUUGGUCUCAUUUGCCACUUUGAAAACGCAAAGCUGCCUUAAGGUCUCAAUAACUACAUCUUUCCCUUCAUAACCUGAGCUAAAACCUUGUUCAGGAUCCGGUGCACAGUAUCUUCCGCGGUUGAUGCAUUGAGAUAUGCACUGCCGGCUUAGGGUGAAAGCUUGAGGGCAGUACCAAGUUAUAUAAUGGGGUGUGAACUGCGUAUAGCCACCUUUUUCGAGAAUCUUAGCAGCACCCUUGAAAUCCUUCACAAAUGCCAUCAGCAUAUCGCAUUUAACUCCACAUUCAUCAUUGCUCUUGGUCCAUAACUCGUACUCGUCACGAUCAUCAGGGUUAGAGUUUCACCAGAAGUUUUCUCGAUAAGGGCAGAUGAACUGUCCUCUUCGCGAUUGUCCCUGGUUAUUAAUGCUUCUUCUAUGUCAUCCGCAACAAGCACUGCAGAAGCACUGCUUGCCAUACAUUCCAAAUCUUUAAAGCAAAGAAGCAAUCUGGAGAAAUAAUAAGAAAAAAGGCGCUAAAUGCAGUCUCCGCAAAUAUAUAUAUAUAUCAAAAACUAAAGAAAAAUUACAUCUAAGACCAUAACUCAAUCAAGGACAAUAAGCAAAUUUUACAACCUUGGCAGCAACUGGAGUCCGUAUAUAGGCAACACUUCAGAUUUUUCUCAUCUCUUUAACAGUGUAAUCACAUUAUAGUAAUGUAACUGAAUUAUCUAAUCCGGAAGUAACUAUAAGCCAUUACUACCUAAUGCUUAGAUCAACCAGCAUUCUGAACCUCAUUUUUAUCACCAUACAUCUGUUUGAGAACCAACCAAACUCAAAUCGUACACUCUAAAUCUAUGUUCACUCGGACUCGGGUAUGAGUUUCAAAUGUAGGCACAUGUUUGAGACGGAUAUGUUAGUUUUGGUUUUUCAUGUAUCUGGAGGAUCUUUGAAAAGUCAUGUGUCGCCCAUAUGCAUGUUCGGAUAUUGAGUCUAGAACGGGUACUUCAGACGGAUAUCCAGAGGAUCAUUAACAGCAUAAUCGCGUUGCAGUAAUGUAACUGAAUUAUCUAAUCCGGAGGUAACUAUAAGCCAUUACUACGAAAUGCUUAGAUCACCAUUAUUUUGAAACUCGUUUUUAUUAUCAUCCAUCUGUUUAAGAACCAACCAAACUCAAAUCAUACACUCUAAAUCUCUGUUUACUCCGACUUGGGUAUGAGUUUCAAAUAAAGGUAUGUGUUUGACACUGAUAUAUUCAAUUUUUCUUCAUGUACCUAGGGGAUCUUUGAGAAGACAUAUCACCGCACACAUGUUCAGAUAUUGAGUCCAAAACCGGUACUUCAAGCAAAACUGAGACUCAGAGAAACUUAGCUCUAAACCACUUUAUCCAUACUGGAGAAAACUAUACGCCAUUACUACGAAAUUCUUAGAUAACCAGCAUUUUGAAAUUCAUUUUUAUUAUCAUACAUCUGCCUUGAGAACCAACCCAACCCAAAGCAUAUAUGUUCACUUGGACUCUGGGUGUGAGUUUCAAAUACAGGUAUGUGUUUGACACGGAUAUAUUCAAAUUUUUGUUCAUGUACCUAGAAGGAUCUUUGAAAAAUCAGAUCACCGUACACAUGUUCGGAUAUUGAGUCUAAAACUGGUACUUAAAGCAAAACCAAGAAUCUGAGAAACUUAGCUCUACUUUUGUAGACACCUCUAAGGCUACAUCCCUAUGAAAGGAGGGAAAUGAAGCUAAAUGAAUGGACCUAAUUUCAGAAAACAACUAGUAAGAUAAAAAGAGAGAAAGACAUCCGUCCAAACAACUUAAAGCAAAGCUGAAAACAAGUAAAUUAAUUCAUAAAUGAACGGAUAAAUAUAUAAAUAAUGAUAAUGAAAUCAAUGGAAACUGAUAAACCUAAAUUUAUUUAAAUGAAUUAGUUAAAAUAUAAUAACAUAAAUCCAAGUAGAUGGAAAAACCAAAUCUAUUAACCCUCAAAUCCCAAACUAUCAAAUAGAUUAUUGCCCCAUAAAUAAACCAAAUCCAACAAAUUGAACUUUAAACCUACUAUUUAAAUUCCCCAAUUUGGAAUUACUCAAAUUAGCUAAAACAACACAAAAAUUCCUCAUUGAUCAACCCUACAACAAACAAAUUAUAGCUCAAAUAAACAAAACCAUAGAUUAAUUUUUCUUAGAAGGCGAAAAUUUUGAAAAAAAGAAGAAGAAAAGUGUACCUCCACGAUCGACCAGAACAUAGGUAGGAAGAGAACCAGGCUUGGAUAUAACCGAAAUCCCAAAGUCAUCAAAACCUUUACAAGCUUUUCGGUUUUCUUCAGGGUAAACCACAACACCAGCCAUGCUUCCACCACAUUGAGGUAUCCCAAAGUUCCCAAUCGCACUAUCAUGGGUUGCUUUAAUCUUCUCCGGCGAUGUUACCGCCAAGCUCUUCUUUUCCACCACGAAUCUCGCGUAACAAUUGCGUAUCAAAGAUAAUAAAAUAAACACUUGAGGAAGAUGAUGAUGAUGGAAUGUUCGUAGCUCCAUAUCUUUACUUUUGGUUUUGGAUUUGGAUUGGAUCAGUUUUAAGGACGAUACUGAUGAAGAAGAUGAAGAUCGUGUAUGAAAAACAUGUAAAAUGAAAUGGUUUUUUUGAAAAAAAUAAAAACAGUGAAAAUCGCCAUUAAAUAAUUCUAUGAUUCUUUUAUUUGUUUUAAAUGAAUUUAGAACACAGUUAGUGAAAUUUUGACACGCUACUAAUAAAUAAUCUUAGUCAUUUAUAGAUUAAACAUUUUUCUUUUUUUUAAACAGUGCAAUGAGACCAAAUCCAGUCAUCUGAAGUAAACUUAAUGGGUUUAUGUUUUUCUUAGCCCCUAAAUUUUCACCUACCGUUUAAUUUAGUACAUGUUAAAAAAAAUCCAAUUUAGUCAUUUGUAUUAUACGUGACGGUCUUCUACAUAUACGAAGUCGUUUAAGUUUCGUUCCGGUGAAGAUUUCAAUAUGCUUAGCAUGUUCCAAAGUCCUUUGGCCCAUUCUAGCCAGUAUCGGCCCGUAUCAAUUGGUACAAAAUUUUGAUAUUUAAACUUAUCUUUUAAUUUUUUAUCUUAAACAUUUUAACUUUUUAUAACUACGUUUAAAAUUAAAAUAAACUGAAGCUAUUGAACCAAUUAAUAGAUUUAAAACUUAUUUUUACAUAUAGAUAGAUGUAAUUGAAAUAUAUCAAGAAAUUUUUCGAUGCAUUUAGCACAUAAAAUCCUCCAAAAAAUAAGGAAAACAGUUAAAUAAUAUAACAUGAAGGAUUCAACAAAAACAACCAACAAGGAACAUCACAUUAUUCUUGGAUAACGGCAAUAAUUGUAUCAUUACUGAUUAUCAUCAGUUCUUCAUGGCGCAUCUCUCUAUGCAGGUAUUGACGCAGCCGACAACUUCCUUUGAAGCUGACAAAAACAAAACAAAUCAUUAAGUUAAUAUACGUACUUACUUACCAUCAAAUAUUAAUAUAAAACGGAAAAAGAAAAAUUACCAGGCAUCCUCCCUUGGCUGCUUAGCAUUGAACAUGUCAUGGCAGCACACCCAACAGUGCAGAAUACGGAGCUGCUCGCGAGGUGGGUUUCCUCCAAUGUCUCCACCAGUGCUUCUGACGGCAGGCAGCGUUGAAUACAUUCCCCAAGGGAAGUUCCGUUGGCGACGCAAGUCGUUACGCAAAAAGUAUACCCAAGUCCAAUCGGGACAAGUGCUGUAACAGCUUGACGCGAGGGACUAACAAGGAUCAACAACAGCAAACAGAACAUCAACGCCAAUGAUUUCCCCCCCAUUAUGUAUAUAUUUGAUUUGAUUUGAUAAUGAUUUUUUUGCACUGCUUGAUAUCGGUGUUAUAUACACUUUGAUUGUCAUGCCAAACUACCAAACUGCCUAAUUAAGAUGCCAAACUAUAAUGCCAAAAUUUGAUUGAAUGCAAAAUUAAAAGAACAUUUCUAUAAGUAAUCAAAAUAAUUUGAAAUGAAUUUGUCAUGCCAAACUACAUGGAAAAUGUCUAAUGUCUUGUCCUUUUUUUAGAAUUCUUCCUAAUAAUCUAAAUUCUUCCUAACCAUCCCAAAUAUUCUGAUUGUCAAUGUUCUUUCUCAGAUGUCAUGAAUCACAAAUGAACACUAAACCUUUAACUUCAUAUUUUAAACAUUAACAUCGAAGUAAACACUUAAACCGUGCAAAUAAAAUCUUGAUUCUCACCUUCACAGUGACUGUAUCCAUCUCCUUUGAUUUGCUCGCUAUCAACCAAGAGACAUUCACAAACUCUUCCUCGAAAUGUAUCUUAAGAAGAAAAUCAAUAUAUUCAAAUAAGCUCAUGGAGUAGAGAAUCCCUAUCAAAUCUGUUUCGAUUCAUACCCUGCAGGCUGUGAGAUUUGCUGCUUUUUCUUGCCAACAACCACCAUCAUUUUCCAAGCAUUCAUUCGUCUCCACAUCUGUGAAAAAAGUAACCGCCAUCACUGGUGUUUCAAAUAACAACUGGACAGUAAGUUGAAACACUACACUGGAUUUCUAAAAGCCUAGCUCUCGCCUAUGUUACUUAGUGUGAGAGUUGGAUAAGACAUAUGUCUGACAUGGACAUGUGCAAGUUGUUCUUCAUUUUCCCUGUAUUCAGAGUGUUUUUGGAGGGUCACAUCCCCAUACUCGUCUAUGAAAACGUGUCAGACACGGGUUCUCAAGAGAGGUAAAGAGUCAGCACCCCUAAGUGGAACCAGACUAAAAUACUUCUCUUGCAAGAAAAAUAAAACAAGACAAACUCACCACCACUCGAACAAACAGCUGGUUCAGUAGUCUCCUCGAAGCCGGCACAUAUGGCCUUCAAAACAGCACCUUUGGCCAGCUUUCCUGCAUGCAGAUAUGUUAAACGCGGAAAGCACCCAAAAUUUUAUCUGGGAAAUACGGGUAUAAAUACGAACCUCGAUAUUGGCGAUUGUUGACAACAAGUCUAGGCAAUAUGGUAACAUCUCCUCUAGAUCCUUUCCCCGCCUAUGAAAAUGUUUCUAUUAAAUAGCCUCAAAAAGGUCAAAGAAGACAACGAAUUGGAAAAAGAGUAGUGAAACAUAAAAUAUCUUAGCCUGAGAGGACUACUUGAGCAUCUUGUUCUUCUUCCAGAACAGGAUUCUCCAUAUCAGCAUCUGGAUCUCCCAAACACUUUUCGAUCUUUUUAGCGUCAAGCCCUGAAUGGAUGACAAAGGAAUAUCAUCAAUUUAUUACUAGUUUCCAGCAAGAUUUUGAGUUUUCACUGUGCUAUUAAUACUAACAGAAAUUUGAAGAUAAACCGAGGAUCUUCCAAUUAACUGUUUACCAAGAGAUUUGAUAACACCGUCUGCACAUUCCUUAUUAUAUCUUUUCUACUUCAUUGGCCAUCUUAUUUCAAAAUCAGUCACAUAGUCCCACCACACCCAAGGCCUAUUGGUCUCAUUUGCCACUUUGAAAACGCAAAGCUGCCUUAAGGUCUCAAUAACUACAUCUUUCCCUUCAUAACCUGAGCUAAAACCUUGUUCAGGAUCCGGUGCACAGUAUCUUCCGCGGUUGAUGCAUUGAGAUAUGCACUGCCGGCUUAGGGUGAAAGCUUGAGGGCAGUACCAAGUUAUAUAAUGGGGUGUGAACUGCGUAUAGCCACCUUUUUCGAGAAUCUUAGCAGCACCCUUGAAAUCCUUCACAAAUGCCAUCAGCAUAUCGCAUUUAACUCCACAUUCAUCAUUGCUCUUGGUCCAUAACUCGUACUCGUCACGAUCAUCAGGGUUAGAGUUUCACCAGAAGUUUUCUCGAUAAGGGCAGAUGAACUGUCCUCUUCGCGAUUGUCCCUGGUUAUUAAUGCUUCUUCUAUGUCAUCCGCAACAAGCACUGCAGAAGCACUGCUUGCCAUACAUUCCAAAUCUUUAAAGCAAAGAAGCAAUCUGGAGAAAUAAUAAGAAAAAAGGCGCUAAAUGCAGUCUCCGCAAAUAUAUAUAUAUAUCAAAAACUAAAGAAAAAUUACAUCUAAGACCAUAACUCAAUCAAGGACAAUAAGCAAAUUUUACAACCUUGGCAGCAACUGGAGUCCGUAUAUAGGCAACACUUCAGAUUUUUCUCAUCUCUUUAACAGUGUAAUCACAUUAUAGUAAUGUAACUGAAUUAUCUAAUCCGGAAGUAACUAUAAGCCAUUACUACCUAAUGCUUAGAUCAACCAGCAUUCUGAACCUCAUUUUUAUCACCAUACAUCUGUUUGAGAACCAACCAAACUCAAAUCGUACACUCUAAAUCUAUGUUCACUCGGACUCGGGUAUGAGUUUCAAAUGUAGGCACAUGUUUGAGACGGAUAUGUUAGUUUUGGUUUUUCAUGUAUCUGGAGGAUCUUUGAAAAGUCAUGUGUCGCCCAUAUGCAUGUUCGGAUAUUGAGUCUAGAACGGGUACUUCAGACGGAUAUCCAGAGGAUCAUUAACAGCAUAAUCGCGUUGCAGUAAUGUAACUGAAUUAUCUAAUCCGGAGGUAACUAUAAGCCAUUACUACGAAAUGCUUAGAUCACCAUUAUUUUGAAACUCGUUUUUAUUAUCAUCCAUCUGUUUAAGAACCAACCAAACUCAAAUCAUACACUCUAAAUCUCUGUUUACUCCGACUUGGGUAUGAGUUUCAAAUAAAGGUAUGUGUUUGACACUGAUAUAUUCAAUUUUUCUUCAUGUACCUAGGGGAUCUUUGAGAAGACAUAUCACCGCACACAUGUUCAGAUAUUGAGUCCAAAACCGGUACUUCAAGCAAAACUGAGACUCAGAGAAACUUAGCUCUAAACCACUUUAUCCAUACUGGAGAAAACUAUACGCCAUUACUACGAAAUUCUUAGAUAACCAGCAUUUUGAAAUUCAUUUUUAUUAUCAUACAUCUGCCUUGAGAACCAACCCAACCCAAAGCAUAUAUGUUCACUUGGACUCUGGGUGUGAGUUUCAAAUACAGGUAUGUGUUUGACACGGAUAUAUUCAAAUUUUUGUUCAUGUACCUAGAAGGAUCUUUGAAAAAUCAGAUCACCGUACACAUGUUCGGAUAUUGAGUCUAAAACUGGUACUUAAAGCAAAACCAAGAAUCUGAGAAACUUAGCUCUACUUUUGUAGACACCUCUAAGGCUACAUCCCUAUGAAAGGAGGGAAAUGAAGCUAAAUGAAUGGACCUAAUUUCAGAAAACAACUAGUAAGAUAAAAAGAGAGAAAGACAUCCGUCCAAACAACUUAAAGCAAAGCUGAAAACAAGUAAAUUAAUUCAUAAAUGAACGGAUAAAUAUAUAAAUAAUGAUAAUGAAAUCAAUGGAAACUGAUAAACCUAAAUUUAUUUAAAUGAAUUAGUUAAAAUAUAAUAACAUAAAUCCAAGUAGAUGGAAAAACCAAAUCUAUUAACCCUCAAAUCCCAAACUAUCAAAUAGAUUAUUGCCCCAUAAAUAAACCAAAUCCAACAAAUUGAACUUUAAACCUACUAUUUAAAUUCCCCAAUUUGGAAUUACUCAAAUUAGCUAAAACAACACAAAAAUUCCUCAUUGAUCAACCCUACAACAAACAAAUUAUAGCUCAAAUAAACAAAACCAUAGAUUAAUUUUUCUUAGAAGGCGAAAAUUUUGAAAAAAAGAAGAAGAAAAGUGUACCUCCACGAUCGACCAGAACAUAGGUAGGAAGAGAACCAGGCUUGGAUAUAACCGAAAUCCCAAAGUCAUCAAAACCUUUACAAGCUUUUCGGUUUUCUUCAGGGUAAACCACAACACCAGCCAUGCUUCCACCACAUUGAGGUAUCCCAAAGUUCCCAAUCGCACUAUCAUGGGUUGCUUUAAUCUUCUCCGGCGAUGUUACCGCCAAGCUCUUCUUUUCCACCACGAAUCUCGCGUAACAAUUGCGUAUCAAAGAUAAUAAAAUAAACACUUGAGGAAGAUGAUGAUGAUGGAAUGUUCGUAGCUCCAUAUCUUUACUUUUGGUUUUGGAUUUGGAUUGGAUCAGUUUUAAGGACGAUACUGAUGAAGAAGAUGAAGAUCGUGUAUGAAAAACAUGUAAAAUGAAAUGGUUUUUUUGAAAAAAAUAAAAACAGUGAAAAUCGCCAUUAAAUAAUUCUAUGAUUCUUUUAUUUGUUUUAAAUGAAUUUAGAACACAGUUAGUGAAAUUUUGACACGCUACUAAUAAAUAAUCUUAGUCAUUUAUAGAUUAAACAUUUUUCUUUUUUUUAAACAGUGCAAUGAGACCAAAUCCAGUCAUCUGAAGUAAACUUAAUGGGUUUAUGUUUUUCUUAGCCCCCAAAUUUUCACCUACCGUGUAAUUUAGUACAUGUUAAAAAAAUCCAAUUUAGUCAUUUGUAUUAUACGUGACGGUCUUCUACAUAUACGAAGUCGUUUAAGUUUCGUUCCGGUGAAGAUUUCAAUAUGCUUCGCAUGUUCCAAAGUCCUUUGGCCCAUUCUAGCCAGUAUCGGCCCGUAUCAAUUGGUACAAAAUUUUGAUAUUUAAACUUAUCUUUUAAUUUUUUAUCUUAAACAUUUUAACUUUUUAUAACUACGUUUAAAAUUAAAAUAAACUGAAGCUAUUGAACCAAUUAAUAGAUUUAAAACUUAUUUUUACAUAUAGAUAGAUGUCAUUGAAAUAUAUCAAGAAAAUUUUCGGUGCAUUUAGCACAUAAAAUCCUCCAAAAAUAAGGAAAACAGUUAAAUAAUAUAACAUGAAGGAUUCAACAAAAACAACAAAGGAACAUCACAUUAUUCUUGGAUAACGGCAAUAAUUGUAUCAUUACUGAUUAUCAUCAGUUCUUCAUGGCGCAUCUCUCUAUGCAGGUAUUGACGCAGCCGACAACUUCCUUUGAAGCUGACAAAAACAAAACAAAUCAUUAAGUUAAUAUACGUACUUACUUACCAUCAAAUAUUAAUAUAAAACGGAAAAAGAAAAAUUACCAGGCAUCCUCCCUUGGCUGCUUAGCAUUGAACAUGUCAUGGCAGCACACCCAACAGUGCAGAAUACGGAGCUGCUCGCGAGGUGGGUUUCCUCCAAUGUCUCCACCAGUGCUUCUGACGGCAGGCAGCGUUGAAUACAUUCCCCAAGGGAAGUUCCGUUGGCGACGCAAGUCGUUACGCAAAAAGUAUACCCAAGUCCAAUCGGGACAAGUGCUGUAACAGCUUGACGCGAG